Molecule: ribosomal RNA, 872 nt
Filed under: uncultured bacterium
Lineage: Bacteria
Description: bacterial SSU rRNA
Rfam family: Bacterial small subunit ribosomal RNA
Source: RNAcentral
GGUCCUAANAUGCAAGUUCGAACGGGAACCUUCGGGAUCCAGNUGGCAGACGGCCUGCAGUUAACGACGCUNGNGUUGUACGAUACCAUGGUUAGUGGGGAAUAACUGCCCGAAAGGGUGGCUAAUUCCGCAUACGCCUGUUGUUUCGGUACAGCAGGGAAAGUCGCAAGACGCUGACGGAGCGGCCCGCGUUCGAUUAGCUAGUUGGUGGGGUAACGGCCUACCAAGGCGACGAUCGAUAGCUGGUCUUAGAGGAUGAUCAGCCAGACUGGGACUGAGACACGGCCCAGACUCCUACGGGAGGCAGCAGUUAGGAAUUUUGGGCAAUGGGCGAAAGCCUGACCCAGCAACGCCGCGUGGGUGACGAAGGCCUUCGGGUUGUAACGCCCUUUUCUCGGGGAAGAUGAUGACGGUACCCGAGGAAGAAGCACCGGCUAACUACGUGCCAGCAGCCGCGGUAAUACGUAGGGUGCGAGCGUUGCCCGGAUUUAUUGGGCGUAAAGGGCGCGCAGGCGGCCACGCACGUCCGUUGUGAAAUCGCUCGGCUCAACUGGGCGGGGUCAGCGGAUACGGCGUGGCUAGAGCAAGCUAGGGGGCAAUGGAAUUCCCGGUGUAGUGGUGGAAUGCGUAGAUAUCGGGAGGAACACCAGUGGCGAANGCGGUUGCCUGGAGCUUUGCUGACGCUGAGGCGCGAAAAGCGUGNGGAGCGAUCCGGAUUAGAUACCCGGGUAGUCCACGCUGUAAACGAUGUCGACUAGGUGUCGGGGGUAUCGACCCCCUUCGGCGCCGCAGCUAACGCAUUAAGUCGACCGCCUGGGGGACUACGGCCGCAAGGCUUAAAACUCAAAGGAAUUGGACGGGGGCCCCCCCAA